RNAcentral lists this ribosomal RNA (119 nucleotides) under Helianthus annuus (common sunflower). Lineage: Eukaryota; Viridiplantae; Streptophyta; Magnoliopsida; Asterales; Asteraceae. The record is from RNAcentral.
GGUUGCGAUCAUACCAGCACUAAUGCACCAGAUCCCAUCAGAACUUUGCAGUUAAGCGUGCUGGGGCGAGAGUAGUACUAGGAUGGGUGACCCCCUGGGAAGUCCUCGUGUUGCAACCC